CGCCAGGUAGAGAAUACUAAGGCGAGCGAGUGAAUCGUGGUUAAGGAACUCGGCAAAAUGCCCCCGUAACUUUGGGAGAAGGGGGACCCAAACCCUGAAACCUCUUGCAGGUUAGGGGUGAGGGUCGCAGAGUCUAGAGAGAAGCGACUGUUUAUCAAAAACACAGGUCCGUGCGAAGCUGUAAGGCGAUGUAUACGGACUGACGCCUGCCCGGUGCUGGAAGGUUAAGCGGACUGGUCAGCCCACCUUGUGUGGGUGAAGCUGGGAAGUUAAGCCCCAGUAAACGGCGGUGGUAACUAUAACCAUCCUAAGGUAGCGAAAUUCCUUGUCGGGUAAGUUCCGACCUGCACGAAUGGCGUAACGACUCCUCUACUGUCUCGACCACGAACUCGGUGAAAUUGCAUUACGAGUAAAGAUGCUCGUUACGCGCAGCAGGACGGAAAGACCCCGGGACCUUUACUAUAGCUUGGUAUUGGUGUUCGGUACGGUUUGUGUAGGAUAGGUGGGAGACGGUGAAGCAUUCACGCUAGUGGGUGUGGAGUCAUUGGUGAAAUACCACUCUGACCGUGCUGGGCAUCUAACCUUGGCCCGUGAUCCGGGUUAGGGACAGUGCCUGGUGGGUAGUUUAACUGGGGCGGUUGCCUCCUAAAGAGUAACGGAGGCGCUCAAAGGUUCCCUCAGCCUGGUUGGUCAUCAGGUGGUGAGUGUAAGUACACAAGGGAGCUUGACUGCGAGACUGACAGGUCGAGCAGGGACGAAAGUCGGACCUAGUGAUCCGGCGGUGGCUUGUGGAAGCGCCGUCGCUCAACGGAUAAAAGGUACCCCGGGGAUAACAGGCUGAUCCUGCCCAAGAGUUCAUAUCGACGGCAUGGUUUGGCAUCUCGAUGUCGGCUCGUCGCAUCCUGGGGCUGGAGUAGGUCCCAAGGGUUGGGCUGUUCGCCCAUUAAAGCGGUACGCGAGCUGGGUUCAGAACGUCGUGAGACAGUUCGGUCCCUAUCCGCUGCGUGCGUUGGAGAAUUGAGAAGGGCUGUCCCUAGUACGAGAGGACCGGGACGGACGAACCACUGGUGUGCCAGUUGUUCCGCCAGGAGCAUGGCUGGUUGGCUACGUUCGGGAAGGAUAACCGCUGAAAGCAUCUAAGCGGGAAGCCUGCUUCAAGAUAAGUUCUCCAUCAACCAUUGUGUUGUGUAGGCCCCCUAAAGAACAUGGGGUUGAUAGGCCAGUCGUGGACACCUCGUAAGAGGCGUAGCUGACUGGUACUAAUGAGCCAACAACCUG
Molecule: ribosomal RNA, 1278 nt
Filed under: metagenome
Description: bacterial LSU rRNA
Rfam family: Bacterial large subunit ribosomal RNA
Source: RNAcentral